This is a non-coding RNA of Camelina sativa (false flax), 1448 nucleotides long. Lineage: Eukaryota; Viridiplantae; Streptophyta; Magnoliopsida; Brassicales; Brassicaceae. The record is from RefSeq and is a predicted model, not a curated record.
CAUAUCUCACGUGAUCCUCUCGUGACUUUGGAGCUGGUCAGACCUAUUCCAAAACUCAUUCCUCCGCCGCACACCUCUGUUUUGGUGUUUGUAAAGUUUGUAACUUUUUCUGGUUAUUGACUAAAGAAACUGAGUUGUAUUCUUGUUUGUAGAGUUUAAGCUUUGGUGAUUGAUGAUGAGGAAGGAGAAGUUGUAGUUGGGUUAUUUGAAUGUUUAAAAUUGAAGAGAAGGGAUUAGUAAGAUGGCUUAUAAAGCAGGGUGAAUGAGCUCUACACUUCAUUGGACUUUUUUAUAAGCCUAUCUUACUAAGUUCUUCUUCUUCUUCUCUUUUAUGUUGGGAUCAUAACAGUUUUUAAGGAAUGCUCUCAUGAUGUUAUUACUCUAUAAGGACACUUUGGUUUAUGAUGAACUCCUCAUCUUUGGACAAGAAGUGGAGUAUAGAAUGUGGGAUCAGUUUUAAGGAAUGUCUCAGACUCUCAGGCUGCUUUUUAUCAGGUAGUCUUUAUCUUUUCUCCCACUUUUCAACAGCUCUGAAAUCCUUUUUUGGAGGAUAGAAUUGGAGGCUUUCCUGUGAUAAAUGGCGAUUGGAAAUUUCAUGCUAUACUUUGAUGUUCAGGUUACAGAUUCUGCCUGCUGGUUGGGGUUGUUUCAUUGUUUUGCUUUUGUUUUGAUUUAGAGUUGAACUAUAGAGCUACUUACUAGGUAUACAUUUGGUUGUAUCCUGUAAGUUGCGGAAACCUUCUUUCUUAUUCGUUGUCGAAGAGUAUGCUCACUGUAGACAGUAGAAGUUUUGGCUUUGUUACUAGACAAUGAAAGAAUUGAGAGCUGAAUGAUUUCUUAUAGUAUCAUCAUAUUGUUUGUCAUUGGCAUUUAACUAGGUUGCUUCUCAGGCGAUGGAUAUGAGAUAGUAUGGAAUGAAAUCUUGAUUCAGUAUGACUUUCACUCUAAUCUAGUUGACUAUCAUGCUAGAGUUAUGACCAUAUAUCGUAAUGAAUGUUUGUGUUAAGGGUUUUGUUAAAACUACAGUUGAUACCAGAUCAAUUUUCGAUUUGGCGUGAGUCAAAGAGCACUUGCAAUAUCUUCACUCUCUAGUCAAGUAGACCCUGAUGAACCAUUUUCAUGACUUUCAAAUGCAGUGUUAAAGCUACUCAACAAGAACAAUGAGGGAAAGUUUUUAGAGAUCUGGUGACACCCAUCUCUAGUAGAAGACGCUACUUAGCUAUUUGUUAUACCCUUUCUAUGUGCCCUUGUUUGUUCUCUUUCUAAUUAUUGUGGAGCCAAGUAAUAUUUAGAAGCUUCCAAGAACUUAGGGGAUGCGGUGGUAGCCAGGAUUCCUUUAUUAAAAACUGUGUGAGUGAGUGCACUUCUCUCUGUCUUUGUGCAGAACCAGAAUCAGCUUCUGUGUUAUUGAUGGGUUAGGUUACCAGAUGCUUUGGGUAUUUGAUUCU